UGGGGAAUAUUGCACAAUGGGGGGAACCCUGAUGCAGCGACGCCGCGUGAGCGAUGAAGGUUUUCGAAUCGUAAAGCUCUGUCCUUGGAGAAGAUAAUGACGGUAUCCAAGGAGGAAGCACCGGCUAAAUACGUGCCAGCAGCCGCGGUAAUACGUAUGGUGCGAGCGUUGUCCGGAAUUAUUGGGCGUAAAGGGUACGUAGGCGGUUUAUCAAGUCAGAUGUUAAAGCGUGGGGCUCAACCCCAUAAAGCAUUUGAAACUGAUAAACUUGAGUAGUGGAGAGGAAAGUGGAAUUCCUAGUGUAGCGGUGAAAUGCGUAGAUAUUAGGAGGAAUACCAGUUGCGAAGGCGACUUUCUGGACACAAACUGACGCUGAGGUACGAAAGCGUGGGGAGCAAAC
RNAcentral lists this ribosomal RNA (400 nucleotides) under uncultured bacterium. RNAcentral's name for it is "bacterial SSU rRNA". It matches the Rfam family "Bacterial small subunit ribosomal RNA", at positions 355 to 773 of the family's 1533-position model. The record is from RNAcentral.